This 395-nucleotide unclassified non-coding RNA is filed under the name soil metagenome. RNAcentral describes it as "partial contains 5.8S ribosomal RNA, internal transcribed spacer 2, and large subunit ribosomal RNA". The stretch from base 1 to 122 matches the Rfam family "5.8S ribosomal RNA", at positions 35 to 154 of the family's 154-position model. The record is from RNAcentral.
GAUGAAGAACGUAGCGAAAUGCGAUACUUGGUGUGAAUUGCAGAAUCCCGUGAACCAUCGAGUCUUUGAACGCAAGUUGCGCCCGAAGCCAUCAGGUAGAGGGCACGUCUGCCUGGGCGUCACAUAUCGUUGCCCAAUGCCUAUUGCAGUGCAAUAGGAAUUUCUAGGGCGAAUGAUGGCUUCCCGUGAGCGUUGUUGCCUCGCGGUUGGUUGAAAAUCGAGUCCUUGGUAGGGUGUGCCAUGGUAGAUGGUGGUCGAGUUAGAACGAUACCGAUCAUGUGCAUGCUCCCCAAAAUAUGGCCUCUAUGACCCACACGCGUCUUUUGACGCUCAUGACGAGACCUCAGGUCAGGCGGGGCUACCCGCUGAAUUUAAGCAUAUCAAUAAGCGGAGGA